RNAcentral lists this ribosomal RNA (2044 nucleotides) under Meloimorpha japonica. RNAcentral describes it as "eukaryotic LSU rRNA". The stretch from base 674 to 2044 matches the Rfam family "Eukaryotic large subunit ribosomal RNA", at positions 665 to 1769 of the family's 3401-position model. Lineage: Eukaryota; Metazoa; Arthropoda; Insecta; Orthoptera; Phalangopsidae. The record is from RNAcentral.
AGAGUACGUGAAACCGCUCAAGGGAAACGGAAGGUGCUCGAGCAAACCWGUCCGGGGAAACUCACGGCCGGCCCCCGUUUCCGCGCGGUGCGCGCGUGCCACGUCGCCCCCGCGCGGCCUCCGGUUCAGCUUCGCGGCCGCGGGGCGACCCGGGAACCCGCGGGCGGCGCAGUGUCGGGUGCGCGCCCAAUGGGAACCGACCGUUCCCGCUGCAAAGGGGCGUGCACUUUUCCUUCGACAUAGUGCGUCRCGUUCCGUCGGUCGGCGGCCAAAGGACCCGGCGCGUGCCCCGCGCGGCGCGUCCGCUUCGCGGCGCGCGCGUUCGGAACCGUCGGUGUGCGGGCGGGGCGGGGCGGCUUAACGGCGCCCUCGACCCACCGCUCUMCCGGCCGCCGAGUAAGACCGGCCCCGUAGCGGGGCCGGCAGGCAACGACGUCAUGGAAUACGCGGAAGUCGUACCGAGCCCCUUUCGAGGRGCCGGGCCUCUCCGGACGUUUGUUCCGCGGCCGCGACCCCCUGGACCCCGUCCGCGCCUCCCCGGCGCGAGCGUGUAAGGUCGGGGAUCGAUCGUCCGCCGAGCCACAGGAGAGGGGGGAUUGAGCGCAAAACGCUCUCCCGUGAUGCAACGRCGACGUUAGUCUCGGGCCACCUUCCGACCCGUCUUGAAACACGGACCAAGGAGUAUAACACGUGCGCGAGUCAAUGGGUCUCCCGAAACCCACAGGCGAAGCGAAAGCGAAAGCGUCCCGCUCUCUCGGGGGCGGGGCGCGGGAGGAUGGCGCGGGGGGCGCGUCCGCGCGGCGUCGGCCUCGGCCGGCGCGUCCGCGGCGCGUCUCAAACCCCGGCCCGCACUCCCGGCGCGCCGUGCUCGGCGCAGCAUGAGCGCACACGUUGGUACCCGAAAGAUGGUGAACUAUGCAUGGCCAGGACGAAGCCAGGGGAAACCCUGGUGGAGGUCCGGAGCGAUUCUGACGUGCAAAUCGAUCGUCUGAGCUGUGUAUAGGGGCGAAAGACCAAUCGAACCAUCUAGUAGCUGGUUCCCUCCGAAGUUUCCCUCAGGAUAGCUGGCGCUCGCGCUCUAGAGAGAGAGUUGAUCGAAUCUCGUCCGGUAAAGCGAAUGAUUAGAGGCCUUAGGGCCGAAACGACCUUAACCUAUUCUCAAACUUUAAAUGGGCGAGAUCCCCGGCAUGCUCGAAGCGAAUAGCGGGCGGCGCCCUCGCUCGCGAGGCGCGUCCGCCCGCUGAUGCCGGGGGCGAGGAUCGCGAGAGCCCAUGGGCACUUUUGUAAAGAACUGGCGCUGUGGGAUGAACCAAACGGGGAGUUAAGGCGCCUAAACGAACGCUCAUGGGACACCAUGAAGGGCGUUGAUUGCUUAAGACAGCAGGACCGUGGCCAUGGAAGUCGGAAUCGGCUAAGGAGUGUGUAACAACUCACCUGCCGAAGCAACUAGCCCUGAAAAUGGAUGGCGCUAAAGCGUUCUGCCUAUACUCCCCCGCCGGCGGCAAGGAGAAGAGCGCCCCGCACGUCCCGCGUCGGGGGCCGUAKCCAGCUUAACCGCGGCAGCGGCAGGAGCUCUGUUAGGCCCCGGUGAGUAGGAGGGUCGCGACGGUGAGCGCASAAGGGUUGGGCGCGAGCCUGCCUGGAGCCGCCGUCGGUGCAGAUCUUGGUAGUAGUAGCAAAUACUCUAGCGAGACCCUGGAGGGCUGAUGCGGAGAAGGGUUUCGUGUGAACAGCCGUUGCACACGAGUCAGUCGAUCCUAAGCCCUAGGGGAGACCCGAUGCAGAUCCCUGCCGACGCAUUAGAGUGUACACGCCGGCGGGAUCGGGCGAAAGGGAAUCCGGUCCCUAUUCCGGAACCCGGUCGCGGAACCGUCUCACGUCGGGCCCCCCGCGCGCUCCGCGCGCGGGAAGCUCGUCGGGGUAACCCAACAAGACCCGGAGAAGCCGUCGGGAGGUCUGGGAAGAGUUUUCUUUUCUGUUUGAGCGUUCGGGUUCCCUGGAAUCGCCUAGCGCGGAGAGAGGGAAUGGAGCGCGUAGAGCACCG